GACGAACCGCACAAACGUUAUUCGGAAUCACUGGGCUUAAAGGGUGCGUAGGCGGUCCGGAAAGUUGGGUGUGAAAUCCCUCGGCUCAACCGAGGAACUGCGCUCAAAACUACCGGACUUGAGGGAGAUAGAGGUGAGCGGAACUCAGGGUGGAGCGGUGAAAUGCGUUGAUAUCCUGAGGAACACCAGUUGCGAAGGCGGCUCACUGGGUCUUUUCUGACGCUGAGGCACGAAAGCUAGGGGAG
RNAcentral lists this ribosomal RNA (245 nucleotides) under uncultured Thermogutta sp. RNAcentral's name for it is "partial 16S ribosomal RNA". It matches the Rfam family "Bacterial small subunit ribosomal RNA", at positions 524 to 768 of the family's 1533-position model. The record is from RNAcentral. Lineage: Bacteria; Pseudomonadati; Planctomycetota; Planctomycetia; Pirellulales; Thermoguttaceae.